AAACUUAAAGGAAUUGACGGAAGGGCACCACCAGGAGUGGAGCCUGUGGCUUAAUUUGACUCAACACGGGAAAUCUCACCAGGCCCGGACACUGGAAGGAUUGACAGAUUGAGAGCUCUUUCUCGAUUCGGUGGGUGGUGGUGCAUGGCCGUUCUUAGUUGGUGGAGUGAUUUGUCUGGUUAAUUCCGAUAACGAACGAGACUCUGUCCUGCUAAAUAGUGUCUGCUUCUCUUUUGAGCAGACAAUUCUUCUUAGAGGGACUGGCGACUCUUAGUCGCACGAGAUUGAGCAAUAACAGGUCUGUGAUGCCCUUAG
Molecule: ribosomal RNA, 315 nt
Filed under: Crustacea environmental sample
Lineage: Eukaryota; Metazoa; Arthropoda
Description: SSU rRNA
Rfam family: Eukaryotic small subunit ribosomal RNA
Source: RNAcentral